This 558-nucleotide long non-coding RNA is filed under the name Olea europaea subsp. europaea. The record is from RNAcentral. Lineage: Eukaryota; Viridiplantae; Streptophyta; Magnoliopsida; Lamiales; Oleaceae.
AUAAAUUUUACGAAUCAUUUUAGAGGAUAUCAUACUGCUUACAAGUUUUAUGCAAAGCUACAGACUGAAACUGAGAUUGACUAUGGACCUUUCUUAUGAAACUAGUGGCGUUAAUGAGAAUAUGCUGAAAACACAUUUUAUUUUAUAAUGCAGAAGCUUAUGAACUUGACUAAGGUUGAAUUCUUUGAUUUAUGUGAAGUUUUCAUUUGCCUCCACACGUUCAUAAUUUCUGCAUUAGACUUCUGAUGCUUAAUGCAGAGCUACAAAGCCUGAUGCAGUGAUUUUUAAUGUUCAAGUCAAUGUGUUGUAACUAAUCCUGAUAAAAAAGGAGUACGGUUGCUCUGUGCCACUUUCUUUAUCUAUUAUCUAUACUAUUGGCAAGAAAACAGAUUUUAUGAGAUAAUUUACAUAAUAGGAGUUUAACUUUGUAACUAGUUUCAUUUUUGAAGCAUAAUUUAGAGGACAAUUUACUUUUUGCAAUUUCAUAUGUCAAUUGGUUGUUCUUCACUCAUUGUCAUCCCAGUAGUGAGAGAACUAUUUUUUGCAAAAUUUAUCAAC